This 1448-nucleotide long non-coding RNA is filed under the name Capsella rubella. RNAcentral's name for it is "long non-coding RNA (CRUB_LNC000502)". The record is from RNAcentral. Lineage: Eukaryota; Viridiplantae; Streptophyta; Magnoliopsida; Brassicales; Brassicaceae.
AAUCAAUCAAAGUUAUUGUAUUAUAACAUAUUUUAACCCCAAACAACACUAGAUAAGUCAUUUAGUUGUUCAACGCAAUGUUUCCGAGUUCUUAGCCCAUAUGGGACCCAAUUUCAACAAGUCUUUCUCCAUACUUCCAACCACUCUUCAUGCAUCUAUAGUUCUUGUAAUCAAUCAAAUUCAUUGUAUUCUAACAUAUUCUAAUCCCAAACAACACUAUAUAAGUCAUUUAGUGGUUCAACGCAAUGUUUCCGAGUUCUUAGCCCAUUUGGGACCCAAUUUCAACAAGUCUUUCUCCACACUUCUAAACACUCUUCAUGCAUCUCUAGCACUUGUGAUCAAUCAAAUUUAUUUUAUUCUAACAUAUUCUAACCCCAAACAACACUAGAUAAGUCAUUUAAUGGUUCAGCGCAAUGAAUCCGAGUUCAUAGCCUAAUUGGGACCCAAUUUCAACAAGUCUUUCUCUACACUUCUAAACACUCUUCAUGCAUCUCUAGCACUUGUAAUCAAUCAAAUAUAUUGUAUUCUAACAUGUUCUAACCCCAAACAACACUAGAGAAGCCAUUUAGUGGUUCAACGCAAUGUUUCCGAGUUCUUAGCCCAUUUGGGACCCAAUUUCAACAAGUGUUUCUCCACACUUCUAAACACUUUUCAUGCAUCUCUAUAACUUGUAAUCAAUCCAAUUUAUUGUAUUCUAACAUAUUCUAACUCCAAACAACACUAGACAACCCAUUUACUGCUCCAAAGACAUGUUUAUGAAUUCUUAGCCCAUUCGGGACCAAAUUUCAACAAGUCUUUCUACACACUUCUAACCACUCUUCAUGCAUCUCUAGCACUUGUAAUUAAUCAAAGUUAUUUUAUUAUAACAUAUUCUAUCCCCAAACAACACUAGACAAGCCAUUUAAUGCUUCAAAGCAAUGGUUUUGGGUUCUUAGCCCAUUUUGUACCAAAUUUAAGCAAAUAUUUCAACACACUUCUAAACACUCUUCAUGCAUCUCUAGCACUUGUAAUCAAUCAAAUUCAUUGUAUUCUAACAUAUUCUAAUCCCAAACAACACUAUAUAAGUCGUUUAGUGGUUCAACGCAAUGUUUCCGAGUUCUUAGCCCAUUUGGGACCCAAUUUCAACAAGUCUUUCUCCACACUUCAAAACACUCUUCAUGCAUCUCUAGAACUUGUAAUCAAUCAAAAUUAUUUUAUUCUAACAUGUUCUAACCCCAAACAAUACUAGACAAGCCAUUUAGUGGUUCAACGCAAUGUUUCCGAGUUCUUAGCCCAUUUGGGAUUCAAUUUCAACAAGUCUUUCUCCAAACUUCUAAACACUUUCAUGCAUCUCUAAAACUUGUAAUCAAUCCAAUUUAUUGUAUUCUAACAUAUUCUAACUCCAAACAACACUAGACAACCCAUUUACUGCUCCAAAGACAUGUUUAUGGAUUCUUAGCCCAUUUGGN